This 633-nucleotide long non-coding RNA is filed under the name Homo sapiens (human). RNAcentral describes it as "non-protein coding lnc-RPS25-3:3". Lineage: Eukaryota; Metazoa; Chordata; Mammalia; Primates; Hominidae. The record is from RNAcentral.
GGGUGCAGUGGCUCACGCCUGUAAUCCCAGCACUUUGGGAAGCCAAGGUGGGUAGAUCAUUUGAGGUCAGGAGUUCGAGACCAGUUUGGCCAACAUGGUGACACCCUAUCUCUACGAAAAAUACAAAAAUCAGCCCCUUUUCACAAGAUGGCACCAAAAGCUAAGAAGGAAGCUCCUGCCCCUCCUAAAGCCAAAGCAAGGCUCUGAAGGCCAAGAAGGCAGUGUUGAAAGGUGUCCACAGCCACAAAAAAAAGAAGAUCCGCGUAUCACUAGCCUUCUGGCGGCCCAAGACAUUGCGACUCCGGAGGCAGUGCAAAUAUCUUAAGAGCACCCCCAGGAGAAACAAGCUUGACCACUAUGCAUCAUCAAGUUUCCUCUGACCACUGAGUCUCCAUGAAGAAGACAGAAGACACACGCACUUGUGUUCACUGUGAAUGUUAAGCCACAGCACCAGAGAAGCUCUAUGACACUGAUGUGGCCAAGGUCAACACCCUGAUUCGGCCUGAUGGAGAGAAGGAACAUGUUCGACUGGCUCCUGAUUACAAUGCUUUGGAUGUUGCCAACAAAAUAGGGAUCAUCUCAACUGAGUCCAGUUGGCUAAUUCUAAAUAUAUGUAUAUCUUUUCACCAUUAA